AUUGAACGCUGGCGGCAGGCCUAACACAUGCAAGUCGAGCGGGGUUUUCGGACCUAGCGGCGGACGGGUGAGUAAUGCGUAGGAAACUGCCCGAUAGAGGGGGAUACCAGUUGGAAACGACUGUUAAUACCGCAUAAUGUCUACGGACCAAAGUGUGGGACCUUCGGGCCACAUGCUAUCGGGUGCGCCUACGUGGGAUU
This 200-nucleotide ribosomal RNA is filed under the name uncultured bacterium. Its description in RNAcentral is "partial 16S ribosomal RNA". It matches the Rfam family "Bacterial small subunit ribosomal RNA", at positions 30 to 242 of the family's 1533-position model. The record is from RNAcentral.